RNAcentral lists this transfer RNA (75 nucleotides) under Desulfitobacterium metallireducens DSM 15288. It matches the Rfam family "tRNA". Rfam says of the family: Transfer RNA (tRNA) molecules are approximately 80 nucleotides in length. Their secondary structure includes four short double-helical elements and three loops (D, anti-codon, and T loops). Lineage: Bacteria; Bacillati; Bacillota; Clostridia; Eubacteriales; Desulfitobacteriaceae. The record is from Rfam by way of RNAcentral.
CGGGGCAUAGCGCAGUUUGGCUAGCGCGCCUGCCUUGGGAGCAGGAGGCCGGGGGUUCAAAUCCCUCUGCCCCGA